This 180-nucleotide ribosomal RNA is filed under the name BTEX-degrading bacterium enrichment culture. RNAcentral's name for it is "partial 16S ribosomal RNA". It matches the Rfam family "Bacterial small subunit ribosomal RNA", at positions 347 to 519 of the family's 1533-position model. The record is from RNAcentral.
GGCAGCAGUGGGGAAUAUUGGACAAUGGGCGAAAGCCUGAUCCAGCCAUGCCGCGUGUGUGAAGAAGGUCUUCGGAUUGUAAAGCACUUUAAGCUGGGAGGAAGGGCAGUAAGUUAAUACCUUGCUGUUUUGACGUUACCGACAGAAUAAGCACCGGCUAACUUCGUGCCAGCAGCCGCG